UACGUAGGGGGCAAGCGUUGUCCGGAUUUAUUGGGCGUAAAAGGCUUGUAGGUGGCCACGCCAAGUCGGAUGUGAAAUCUCCCGGCUCAACUGGGAGGGGUCAUUCGAUACUGGCGGGCUCGAGGCCGGUAGGGGGAAGUGGAAUUCCCGGUGUAGUGGUGGAAUGCGCAGAUAUCAGGAGGAACACCGAUGGCGAAGGCAGGUCUCUGGGCCGAUACUGACGCUGAGGAGCGAAAGCGUGGGGAGCGAACAGG
RNAcentral lists this ribosomal RNA (254 nucleotides) under uncultured bacterium. RNAcentral's name for it is "partial 16S ribosomal RNA". It matches the Rfam family "Bacterial small subunit ribosomal RNA", at positions 524 to 776 of the family's 1533-position model. The record is from RNAcentral.